This 762-nucleotide ribosomal RNA is filed under the name Magadha w-maculata. Its description in RNAcentral is "LSU rRNA". It matches the Rfam family "Eukaryotic large subunit ribosomal RNA", at positions 1273 to 1928 of the family's 3401-position model. Lineage: Eukaryota; Metazoa; Arthropoda; Insecta; Hemiptera; Achilidae. The record is from RNAcentral.
AAAGGUUAACAACUCACCUGCCGAAGCAACUAGCCCUGAAAAUGGAUGGCGCUCUAGCGUCGUGCCUAUACCGGGCCGUCAACGGCAAAGCGGGUCCCGCCCGCCCGGCCUGGCCGCGCCGGCGGGGCCGUUAGGCCUUGACGAGUAGGAGGAGCGCGGCGGUGUGCGCAGAAGGGUCUGGGCGCGAGCCUGCCUGGAGCCGCCGUCGGUGCAGAUCUUGGUGGUAGUAGCAAAUACUCUAGCGAGGGCCUGGAGGGCUGAUGUGGAGAAGGGUUUCUUGUGAACAGCCGUUGCACAAGAGUCAGUCGAACCUAAGCCCUAGGAGAAAUCCGAUGUUGAUGGGUAGCAAAAGCACGCAAUGACUGUGACGCGUUGUCGGAUGCUCCCGUCGGGCGAAAGGGAAUCCGGUUCCUAUUCCGGAACCCGGCUGCGGAACCGUAACUUCGCGGGCACUCGCCUGCGAGCGCUCGUCGGGGUAACCCAAAGUGGCCCGGAGACGCCGGCGGGAGGUCUGGGAAGAGUUGUCUUUUCUUUAUAAGCGUUCGAGUUCCCUGGAAUCCUAUAGCAGGGAGAUAGGGUUUGGAACGCGAAGAGCACCGCAGUUGCGGCGGUGUCCGGACCUUCCCCCCGGACCUUGAAAAUCCGGGUGAGGGCUACGCGGAAAGUCGCGCCGGCUCGUACCCAUAUCCGCAGCAGGUCUCCAAGGUUAAGAGCCUCUAGUCGAUAGAAUAAUGUAGGUAAGGGAAGUCGGCAAACUAGCCC